RNAcentral lists this unclassified non-coding RNA (251 nucleotides) under uncultured fungus. RNAcentral's name for it is "partial contains small subunit ribosomal RNA, internal transcribed spacer 1, and 5.8S ribosomal RNA". The stretch from base 1 to 73 matches the Rfam family "Eukaryotic small subunit ribosomal RNA", at positions 1759 to 1831 of the family's 1831-position model. Lineage: Eukaryota; Fungi. The record is from RNAcentral.
UCAAACUUGGUCAUUUAGAGGAAGUAAAAGUCGUAACAAGGUCUCCGUAGGUGAACCUGCGGAGGGAUCAUUACAGAAUGAUCUCCUUGAUCUUCAAGCCCUCAAACACUGUGGAACAUACACCUUGUGCUUCGGCGUCGCCUGGCGCCGCUUUUAUGCUUCAAACAUGUCUUUUGUGUCUGAAAUCUAGAAAAGAUGUCAAAACUUUCAACAAAGGAUCUCUUGGCUCUCGCAUCGAUGAAGAACGCAGC